GUGCUGGGUAGGUUUGUUGUGUUUGAAUGAUAACGGUUCCUGUAGUAUUUGGAUUUUCAACCACCACUACAGCUGUUUGUUGCUGUGAAAGUAAGAUCAAAAUUAAUACCAUAAUAAUUGAUAAUAGUCAAGCCUGCAAUACACAAUAUGUAUACUAAGCAGUAUGUGCUUUAUGGUGCUUUCUUAUAUAAAAUGGUGGGAACUAGCAGUAAACUAGUGUGAGCUGCGUUGGUGUUUCUAAAGAUGAAACUGUUUUAAUUAUUGAUGUUUGUGAAUUNUGAUAAUCUGGAUGAUUUGUGCAACUGUUGUUGGUGACUGGUGACAGCUGUUAUUACAACAUUCCUAUCAUUUUACUUUUAACUGGCGAGGUUUUGGGAACUUACUGGGCUUGAUGAACAGCAUACAGAAAUGCAUCCAAUAAUGGAUCCAGCAAAUACAACAAUGGUGAGAAGCCCAUUGAUGAGCAAAAGACACAGGAAAAUGGCCUCAAUAGCACUGAUCCAGGAACAGUCUUCCACUAUGAAAUAAAGAUAUUUUAAUAUUAUUAAUUAUUAUUAAUUUAAAAAUAAAUUAUCAUUGAUUUAAUGUCAGAGUUGUUUUAGNCAGCCAUCAAGUAUCAACUGACAACCAGUUGGCUCAGUUGGUACAGCACUGGACUAUUGUGUUGUGUACUGAAGCUUUUAAAGUAAUUGAGGCCGGGAUGCUGUUGGGUUUGUUUCUCCGUCUGCAAAUGGUUAGACCAAUGAUUAAAAAGCUGGGCGUUAUACUGGAGGUCCCGUCUCUCUACACUUUUCUCUAUACUGCUUUGAGGGGAUGUUAGAGAGCCACUUAGGGCAUAAAAACACUGGUUGUGACCAGUUUUACUCUCUCUGCCCUUGGGUCUGCAGUUAUCGCACNUGANACCGCAACAAGAAUCUUCACAAGAAGGAGUUGGGGUUACAUGGAUAAAAAGAAGAAGAUAAUGCCUCACAUUCCCACUUUGUUAAACUGUGUGAUGUUAAAAUUAUGUGAGUUUAAGCAGUUAUAACACAUACAUUCCAAUGGAACUUUAUCAUUGCCACAAUCACAACGACCCCCUUUGAUUUUACACUUGGUUUCAAUGAUAGCUUUGAGGAUCUGCCAUAUCAGGAAAGCUAAUCCAGCAAAAACAGUUGCUACAAUGCAGCAAAUGGUAUCAAUGAUGCAGGAGACCAUGAAGGAGAUCAUCUAAAAAGUUUAAUAAAUUAAACUUAUCAAUCAGUCAAUCAUUCAACUAAUAUUAUUUUUCAUAUGGUGCCUAUCAAAGGUUUAUGCAUAUGAGAGGUGUCUGCCUAUGAAAGCUGUAUUCUUAUGGAAGGUGUAUGUUGUGGAAGUUGCCUUCAUAUGAGAGGUGUCUGCCUAUAAAAGCUGUAGCUUAUGGAAGGUGUAUGUUGUGGAAGUUGCCUUCAUAUGAGAGGUGUCUGCCUAUGGAAGGUGUAUGCUUAAAGCAACUUUCAGCUUAUGGAACGUGUCUGAUUAUUUCAUGUGCCUAGUUAAGGAAGGUGUCCCCUUUAUAGGAUAUAUCUACUUGUGUGAGAUGUGCACCUAUAAGAAAUGUAUUAUUGGUAAACACCCAUCAUCAGUAAUGUUAAUGGUUCUAUUUGCCUGGAAAUCAUAGAGUGGUGUGCUCAUGGAACUUACCAGGCAUUUGUUCUGUUUCACCCAUGUGAAAACUCCAAUCACUCCAGUUAUACCAAACUGUUGAAAAACCACAUCAGAUCAUUUUGCUGUGAGCAAUUAAAAACAAUUAAANAAUCUGUUGUUUUGCAUUCAACCAUACAAUUAGCAGGGAUUCAGNCUAUUUUAAUCGAUUGUAGAUAUAGAAUUUGCACUGUAGUGCCAAUCAGUGAGCACCAGACGCCCCCACCCCACCCCCGAAAAAAGAUAUAUGACUGAAUCUCAGUUUCCCACUCCUACAAAGUUCUCCAUAAGUCGUAAUAUUCGCUUCUCGAUUUUUCGGUUUGUCGCUCAAACUAGCGACUUAUCCGUCCGAGAGCAAAAAAAAAAAAAAAAAAAAAAAAAAAAA
This 2044-nucleotide long non-coding RNA is filed under the name Exaiptasia diaphana. RNAcentral's name for it is "uncharacterized LOC114575870". The record is from RNAcentral. Lineage: Eukaryota; Metazoa; Cnidaria; Anthozoa; Actiniaria; Aiptasiidae.